CAUUAGAUGACUGAAAGAUAAGUAAUGG
This 28-nucleotide transfer RNA is filed under the name Adalia bipunctata (two-spotted ladybird beetle). Its description in RNAcentral is "partial transfer RNA-0". RNAcentral also lists the same sequence under 1 other name. Lineage: Eukaryota; Metazoa; Arthropoda; Insecta; Coleoptera; Coccinellidae. The record is from RNAcentral.